Gasterosteus aculeatus aculeatus (three-spined stickleback) is the source of this 2701-nucleotide long non-coding RNA. NCBI's taxonomy places the organism in Eukaryota, Metazoa, Chordata, Actinopteri, Perciformes, Gasterosteidae. The record is from Ensembl.
CCUCACCUCCCCCGCCCCUCCUCCCUCAGAGCCAGAUUUGGGCGAAAAAGGUGCCAGACACUCGAACCCAUAUAGAGAGUCACUCUGCUGGAGAUGGAGAAGAAGAAAGAAAUAAUGAUGUAAGGAGAUGUGUGUGUGUGUGUGUGUGUGUGUGUGUGCGUGUGCGUGUGCGAGAGCCGGAGUGGUCUUCCAUGUGUCUCGCUCACACAAGUGUUAGCGUGUUAGCUUGUUAGCUUGCCGUUUGGCCCGCGCGGAUUGUCCCCUGACAACCUUGAUGAGUUUCACUCUGCGAGGCGCUAACUAGAGCGCAGAUGCUCGGCCGCGUACGCCACGUUUUGCUCGACGCUCUCUCUCCACUUAACGUUUCAAUGCCUGGAAUGGACCAAUCAGAGGAGGUGAGGGGGGGGGGGGGGGGCGGGUCUCUGAACAAUAUUGCCAAAACAUUUGAUGGUGAUAGAAAUAAAGAAAAAAAAGAUGGUUUGCACCACAGAAGCAAGCUCAUCCGCUGUUACCUUGAUGCCUUUCUGCGCUUCCACAUCGAAGAGGCAAAUACUACUUCUCACCGCUACGCUGAUCCGACAGACUUGGUUACCUUGCAAAUAACAAUUCAAAUCAACAGCCAUCAAAUUACUUAAACAAAAGUAAAAAGGUAUCAAAUUAAUAAAAUAUGUAUUUGAUUGGUAAGCCGUGAUUUAAAGAGAAGGGAGAUUUGCUGACGCAUACUUUUACUUAAAGGGGCGGUUUGUGGGUUUUAGUGGCCUCUGGUGGUGAGUUUGCAGGUUGCAUCCAGCGUGUCAUCCCUUGCUCAUGCCUCCUUUCUAUUAUAUUAUAUUGCAUUUGGAUCAAAACCGGUAAAUGUGCCCUUCAUAUGAGGCUUUGAAUGUUUACUAAAUGUUUGCACUGCGUAGUAGCUUCAGUACAAUUUACAACGCAUCACUGCUAAAGUCUAGUCGCUCUAUUUUUGGACCGUAUCCACUUACAGUACACUCUGUGUAUUGAUCAGGAUGGUUUUAACAGACUGCUGUGAGGUCCAUUAACCUGUGGUGAUGACAAAGCAUUAAAAGACUAAUGUGUCCCUGGAGGGGAGGUGUGGGGAGGGGUAAGAGGAGCAGGACAGCUGAGCAGACAACACCACUCUGCACCGUGAAGUGGUGAUAGCUGUGAAGAUGACGCUCGCAUCAUUUGUGUGUAUUAUGUGGUUAUGCGCAUGCUCUCACCGAUGCUAAAUCAGUAUUUGAUUUUCACUUUCACUGCGCCUCAUCGGCCAUGUGAAAUACAGUUUGCCAUGUUGAGGUCGAGGUCGUUGAUGUUCAUUGGGUCGAGGUGGUUGAAGGUCGUUGAAUCGAGGUGGUUGAUGUUCGUUGGGUCGAGGUGGUUGAUGUUUGUUGGGUCGAGGUGGUUGAUGUUUGUUGGGUCGAGGUGGUUGAAGGUCGGUGGGUUGAGGUGGUUGAAGGUCGUUGAAUCGAGGUGGUUGAUGUUCGUUGGGUCGAGGUGGUUGAAGGUCGGUGGGUCGAGGUGGUUGAAGGUCGGUAAGUCGAGGUGGUUGAUGUUCGUUGGGUCGAGGUGGUUGAUGUUUGUUGGGUCGAGGUGGUUGAUGUUUGUUGCGUCGAGGUGGUUGAAGGUCAUUGAAUCGAGAUGGUUGAUGUUCGUUGGGUCGAGGUGGUUGAAGGUCGUUGAAUCGAGGUGGUUGAAGGUCGUUGGAUGAAGGUGGUUGAAGGUCGUUGGAUGAAGGUGGUUGAAGGUCGUUGGAUGAAGAUGGUUGUGUAGGGCACCGUUGUCCGUGGUGCUGAAACUCAGCAGAUGCACAUAAACAUGCUUCCUUGCGUCUGCUUUGUUAAUUAUUCUUUCAUUAAUAAAGGUUUUCUUUGUAUUUGAAGCAGUAGCCUCUUGUUGACGUCUAACAGCUUUUUGCAUGAUAGAAAUGCCCCUUAGCAGAAUGUUAAGAUGAAGAGGAAAAGAAGAAGAAAAAUAAAGGAAGCACAAAAGUACAACCAUGCGGGUUGUAAGUAGUGUAAAGGAUCAUAAAAGUCACAUAUCACAUCUCAUUGGAUCCGCUCAACGGAACAAAUUAGAGACUUUUAGAGAUCACGUUUGUCUUCAAGGCAAAAAAUUGCAUUCAACCGCUCUGAAGUAUCAAAUAUUAUCAGUAUAAUGUAUUUAUAUUCAGUGUAACGUCUGAUUAUAUGACUUUGUUAUCAUCAACUAAAAGCUGAAUAGACCGUUCUAUUUGAAGAUAAAGAGAAAGAGACUCCUCCACCCAGAGGGGAGAAUAUGAUCAACUUUCUGUAAGUACAGGAGGAAAUCCUGGAGAAAACACGUUCCUCCUCCUCUUCCUCCUCCUCUACUCCCCAGUGUCCUUUCUCCUCUUCCUCCUCUGUCCCGUCUUUGUGUUGUGGCCCCUUUUCAGAGGCUUUUUCAGGGGCUGAAGUGGCGCUCGGCUACGCUGAAGUGUCUCCACUGCUGUGCCCGAGCCUGCAAUUCACCCACUGUGCGUGUGUGUGUGUGUGUCUGUGUCUGUGCACGUGUGUGUGUGCGCGUGCAUGUGUGUGUGUGUGUGUGUGCACGUGUGUCUGUGUGUGUGCCUGAGCCUGCAAUUCACCAAUUUCACCGCUAAUUAGCCAACAAAGGCUACCGGCAGGGAGGAGCUGAGGAGGAGGAGGAUGGAGAGGGGGCGGCAUACGCGGGAGGUCCAGGCCUUAGG